This 254-nucleotide ribosomal RNA is filed under the name uncultured bacterium. Its description in RNAcentral is "partial 16S ribosomal RNA". It matches the Rfam family "Bacterial small subunit ribosomal RNA", at positions 524 to 776 of the family's 1533-position model. The record is from RNAcentral.
UACAGAGACUGCAAGCGUUUAUUCGGAUUCACUGGGCGUAAAGGGUGCGCAGGCGGUUGUGUGUGUCAGGUGUGAAAGCCCGGGGCUUAACCCCGGAAUUGCGCCUGAAACUCAUGACUAGAGCAUUGGAGAGGGUAGCGGAAUUCACGGUGUAGCAGUGAAAUGCGUAGAUAUCGUGAGGAACACCGGUGGCGAAGGCGGGUCUCUGGGCAAUUCCUGACGCUGAGGCGCGAAAGCGUGGGGGAGCAAACAGG